This 284-nucleotide ribosomal RNA is filed under the name uncultured bacterium. RNAcentral describes it as "partial 16S ribosomal RNA". It matches the Rfam family "Bacterial small subunit ribosomal RNA", at positions 30 to 314 of the family's 1533-position model. The record is from RNAcentral.
AUUGAACGCUGGCGGCAUGCCUUACACAUGCAAGUCGAACGGCAGCACGGGGGCAACCCUGGUGGCGAGUGGCGAACGGGUGAGUAAUACAUCGGAACGUGCCCCGUAGCGGGGGACAACCAGUCGAAAGACUGGCUAAUACCGCAUACGGCUCCACGGAGGAAAGCAGGGGAUCGCAAGACCUUGCACUAUGGGAGCGGCCGAUGCCCGAUUAGCUAGUUGUGAGGUAAAGGCUNACCAAGGCAACGAUCGGUAGCUGGUCUGAGAGGACGACCAGCCACACU